The sequence is a ribosomal RNA, 2978 nucleotides long. It matches the Rfam family "Bacterial large subunit ribosomal RNA".
AUCAAGUGAUUUAGAGGCGUAUGGUGGAUGCCUUGGCGCUUGGAGCCGAUGAAGGACGCAGCCGUGACGCGAUACGCUCCGGGGAGGUGCGGCAACCUUCGAUCCGGAGAUAUCCGAAUGGGGAAACCCGGCUGGCCGAUCAUCUGCCUGGCCUAAAAGCCAGGCGUACUAAAGCCGGUCAUCUCCGUCUGAAUAUAUAGGGCGGGGAAGGGAACUUAAGGGAACUGAACCAUCUCAGUACCUGGAGGAAGAGAAAGCCAAUAGCGAUUCCCCUAGUAGUGGCGAGCGAAAAGGGAACAGCCUAAACCCGGCGGAUGUAAAAGCCCGCAGGCGUUGUCCGUCCGGGGGUCGAGGGAGCCGCCUGAAAGACUCUGCGGAGCUUUCAGGAAGUUACAAAUCUCCCGCGUAGUUGAAGGAAGUGGAAACUUCCGCCAUAGAAGGUGAUAGCCCUGUAUGCGAAACGCGAGAGACUUCCGGCGGUUUCCCGAGUAACACGGGACAUGGACGACCUGUGUGAAUCUGGGAGGACCACCUUCCAAGGCUAAAUACUCCAGNNNNNNNNGCCUACAAGCAGUCAGAGCUAGUGAGAGAUUAGAAAUUAGAUUCAAUCUAAUUUCUACUAGGCGCGAUAGCGCCGGUCAACUUUCUAGUUUCUCACAUUGUAAUGGCGUGCUUAUUGUAUAAGAGCCGGCGAGUUACGGUGAGUGGCGAGGUUAAGCUUGUAACAAGCGGAGCCGCAGCGAAAGCGAGUCUGAAUAAGGCGCCAAUAAGUCGCUUGCUGUAGACCCGAAACCGAGCGAGCUAUCCAUGGACAGGAUGAAGUUCGGCCGUUUGCGCGGCUGAGUGGAGGUCUGAACCCGUUGACUGAGAGAGCCAUGGGAGGAUCUGUGGAUAGGAGAGAAAAUCUACGCGAGCUCGGAGAUAGCUGGUUCUCCCCGAAAUGCAUUUAGGUGCAGCCUCGAGAUAGACCAACGGGGGUAGAGCGCCGAUUUGGUACGACGGCCCCUUAACUUUGUGGGUCGGAGCCCAAGUCGAACUAACGAAUACCGUUGAUCGUUUCUCGGGAGUGAGGCCGCGGGCGUAAAGGUCCGCAGCCGAGAGGGAAACAACCCGGAUCACCAGCUAAGGUCCCUAAGUAUAGACUCAGUGUUCUUAAGGAAGUGGGAUUGCGAAGACGACCAGGGGGUUGGCUUAGGAGCAGCCAUCCCUUAAAGAGUGUCGUGCGUGUAAGCUCACUGGUGGAGCGAUCCUGCGCCGAAAAUGUCCGGGACUUAAGUCUAUCACCGAAGCUGUGAGUUCUAGGUAUAUAUAAGGUGUGUCAGGGUUUUAACCUUGGCCGUCUUACCUAGAUCGGUAGGGGAGCGUUCUGUGGGAGUUGAAGCCAUCCCGUGAGGGCUGGUGGAUUCCACAGAAGAGAGAAUGCCGGCAUGAGUAGCUAACUAAGAUGGGUGAGAAUCCCAUCCGCCGAAAGCCUCAGGUUUUCCCAGCUCUGUUCAUCAACUGGGAGUUAGCCGGACCUAAGGCGAGGCCGAAAGGCGUAGUCGAUGGAUAAGCCGGUUAAUAAUCCGGCGCCACCGAUCCGUAGUUGUUAACGCAAGCUGUUCUCCGGUGGUUUGUUCACCGGUAGACGGCAGCUAGCAACUAAAAAGCGGGCGACGCGGGUAAGCCGCGUCGGGGGACGAGUGGAAGCCCACCCGGCAAGGCCGAACCGCUUAAAAAAACCCGCAAUUUGGAUCGGUGUCCGUACUGCAGACCGACACAGGCAGGCUAAGGGAUAAACCCUUAAGGCGAGCGAGACAACCCUCGUUAAGGAACUCGGCAAACUGACCCCGUAACUUCGGGAUAAGGGGGUCUUUCCUCGGGGCAACCCGAAGAAAGGUUCAAUUAAAUUGGCUCGAGCGACUGUUUAUUAAAAACACAGGUCUCUGCUAACUCGUAAGAGGAUGUAUAGGGGCUGACGCCUUCCCAGUGCCGGACCCUAAGAAGAGGGGUCGUAGGGUAGGAUUGUUGGGGUGGAGAGCCCCAACGAUUUCAACUGAGGGCUCCGAAUCGAAACCCCGGUAAACGGAGGCCGUAAGGGAAUGACGGCCCAAAGGUAGCGGAAUUCCCGGCGGAUAAUUUCCGUCAUGUCGAAAGGCAUAACGACUCGAGCGCUGUCUCAACGAGGGACUCGGCGAAAUUGGCUAAAUCGGUGAAUAGACCGGUUUCUCGCGGCGGGAUGUAAACCCCCGGAAGCUUGACUGCAGCUUGAUCUUGGGUGAACGCCCUAACCUGCCACCGUGAAUCCGGUGGGGGGACAGGGUCAGGUGGACAGUUUGGCUGUUUCGGCCCCCUCCUAAAAAGUAACGGAGGGCUCCAAAGGUACCCUCAGCACGAUCGGAAAUCGUGCAGUGUGCAUAAGGGCGUAUGGGUGCCUGACUGCUUAGGCCGACAGGCCGCGCAGGGGCGAAAGCCGGGCCUAGUGACGCGGUGGUACCAAGUGGGUGGGCCACCGUUACAUGGGAUAAAAGUUCUCCGGGGAAAUAGGGCCAAUCACCCCCGAAAGAUCACAUCGACGGAGUGGCUUGGCACCUCGUAGUCGGCUCAUCGCAUCCUGGGGGUGUAGGAGCUCCCAAGGGUUGGACUUGCCGUCCAUUAAAGCGGUAUGUGAGCUGGAAUAAGACCAUUGUAAGAUAGGUCGGAUCAAUAUCUGCCGUGAGCGUUGGAAACUUGAGGGGAGCUGCCCUAAGUACGAAAGGAACAGGGUGGACGGGCCUCUGGUGUACCAGUUGCCCCGCCAGGGGCACCGCUGGGUAGCUAUCGUUCGGAAGGGAUAAGCGCUGAAAGCAUCUAAGUGCGAAGCCCACCCCAAGAUGAGGUUUCCCGUCGGUUUAAAAACCGACGAAGGUCCCAGGUAGACUACCUGGUUGAUAGGCCGCAGGUGUAAAACCCGCGAGGGUUGCAGCCGAGCGGUACUAAUGUGACCGAUAAGCUUGAUA